This is a long non-coding RNA of Corythoichthys intestinalis (scribbled pipefish), 2313 nucleotides long. RefSeq lists it as uncharacterized. The transcript is spliced from 6 exons. The record is from RefSeq and is a predicted model, not a curated record. Lineage: Eukaryota; Metazoa; Chordata; Actinopteri; Syngnathiformes; Syngnathidae.
GGAUAUCAGCCAGAUUUUUUUUAAUCAAUUUUUGAAAUCAGGCGAAAUGACAGCGGAAAUGGGCAGCCACCGCGUUCCAUUAUGAAUACAGCAAGUUGCACCAUUAGGAAGCCAGCGCGUUGCAUUACCGUAAUGCACACAAUGAUCCAAAUGAGGGGUGGCUAGCUUGACUUCGUUUUAACGAGUGGAGGGUGGCUUGACCGCAGUAAACAGAGGAAGGGGUAAGUGCUGCCGCGCCAAGCCACUUCUGGCUGCAUUUUCGACACAUGAAAAAUAACGAAUACGUACUACUGUAUGACGGAAAAUUUUAGUGGUUUUGUAACCGCCACGUUUUCAUAGCAUGGUAAACCGUGAAGGUAACCGGCACAUGCCUACCCCACCCCCCCCGACCCCCUUAAAAGUUUUCUCCUCGGAUCUACACGAUUCACGUAGGUCAUCCUUUUUGACUUCAAAACGGCGAAUUUCGCCGAAAGAGGCCCUUUGUGACAUACUUAUCUCUUUGAUGCACAUGGAUUGAAUUCUCAAUGGCAGCCUAAUCUGCUCCACAACAUUGGAGGAUUCCAUGAGGGAAUCAUUCGUUGCCAAACGGAACAGCUGCUCGACAUCCUUUAAGAGAGUGAAGACCUCAUCUGAUGGCCGGUGCUUCAACCAAUGCACACUGGCAUUGGUUGCAGAGUGUGAAGCUGAUGACCCUCUUCACUAUGCAUCCUGCCAGAUGUUGCCAUUUUGCCUGACGGCGUGGUCCCUGGCGCAUCUUGGACUAGUGUUGUGGCGCCACCGCUGGUUCCUGAUUGGUCGGCACCCGGCUCAUCCACCCCUGGAUCACCUUGCCUGGAUACGUCAUUGUCAUUGUGCUCACUUUCGCCCAACCUUCCCACCUCAAUUUCUCCCUGAAUGUCUGUAACAAUAACAAGGCAUUCUUAAUUUUAUAUGCAGUCAGUGUAUUUACAUUUGCACCUAUUGUCAUCUCCAAAGUAAGGGUACACUACACUCCUAAAGGGAAAAAAAAAAAAACGGACAUUACUGUUACAUGAAUCAAAUCAUCUGCCACAAUCAGAAACUGCUAUGGCAUUGCCAUGUGUCAACAGUCUGGUGAUAUCAUGGAGUUGGUUGUGCUUUGCUGUUGUAUCCACCAGAAAUGUUUAGUUAUAGGUGAAAAUUAAAUGCAUAAAUAAAGCUAAAUUAUGAAGUAACUAACAAUGAAGUAGAUCGAAAUUUUAUGUGUAGAUCCCAGGACAAUUCCUGACCUCUUGUAUUUGAAGCUGAAUGUAUUAAUAUGAAAAAUAUAAUUAUCUUAUUAGGAGUGUAGUUUAUCCUUGAAUUACUUGGCAUGGGAAAUGUUGUUGACAGCUGGUCUGUAUCAUACCCAAGUUUAACCUGGUGCAAUAUGUAUGGUCCGUUUGAAUUUUGGUUGGAGGCACACUCCUAAAGGGAAGUUUCCUCCUCUUUGGCUUCGAACGAUGAAUGAAAAUGGUUGGGACAGCAUCUGGCCUCAAUUUGAAUGUGUGCCCUACUUUGGUUGGCGUAAACUGGUCCUCCUCAAAGUGUUCCUGAUGUUUGGUUCGCAAGAUACGUUUCCAUUCUACUUAAAAUUUUUUUUUUUUUUUUUAAAGUCAUAAUACCGUGACUUACAUGACAGAGUUUAUAGUUGUUGCUGGCCCCCUUCAAUUUCAGAUUUUUACGGCUGACCAUUGCCAGCCACCGUUUCAGCCGGUUUUUGUCCUUCGGGAAACCAUACAUUCGGUAGCCCUUUUCGGACCGAUUGGUGCAUCCAAAAGCUGCACAACCAACCAUCACGAUCUCUAAAAUGUUAGGUGUGAGCACUGAAUCAUGACACCAAUUUUACCUAUUUAAUAAAAAAUAAAUAUUACUGUAAUAUUAAAUAUUUUCUUUAUCAAAGGGUAAUACGUUAUGUAAUAUAUUACCACAGGUAAGUGUAUCAAGAAAAUCUGGGCAUUCUCUGGAAAAACAGUAUUCUAGUUGUGGGGGGGGGAAAUACAUCUUGCAUUUCAAUGUAUAAGUUGAUUUCCAAUGCUAUUACUAACACAAACAUGAAACUCCCUCCAAGACAUGGGAACUUUCCCUUCUGUGUAACAGUUUACAUAGUUUUCAGUUGUUGCCUUACCACUCCAAAUGUAAAACUAGCAUUUAUAAACACUAUAGUGCAAUGACAUAAUCAAACAAGUACUUAAAAUACGUGAUUUUAUCUAUUUUUACCAUAAAUGGAGCAAUCACCGCUAUCUGGUUCAUGGAAUACUAUUACAGCGCUGCUUGUGUUUGUAACUAUACACGCCUACAUGAGGCACGUGACCA